GUGGGGAAUCUUGCGCAAUGGGGGAAACCCUGACGCAGCAACGCCGCGUGGGUGAUGAAGGCCUUCGGGUCGUAAAGCCCUGUCAGGUGGGAAGAAACAUGUUGAUGCCAAUACCAUCAGCACUUGACGGUACCACCGGAGGAAGCACCGGCUAACUCCGUGCCAGCAGCCGCGGUAAUACGGAGGGUGCAAGCGUUGUUCGGAAUUAUUGGGCGUAAAGCGCGUGUAGGCGGUCAUGUAAGUCAGAUGUGAAAGCCUUCCGCUUAACGGGAGAAGUGCAUUUGAAACUGCAUGACUGGAGUACGGGAGAGGAGAGUGGAAUUCCCGGUGUAGAGGUGAAAUUCGUAGAUAUCGGGAGGAACACCAGUGGCGAAGGCGGCUCUCUGGCCUGAUACUGACGCUGAGACGCGAAAGCGUGGGGAGCAAACAGGAUUAGAUACCCCAGUAGUCC
Molecule: ribosomal RNA, 451 nt
Filed under: uncultured bacterium
Lineage: Bacteria
Description: bacterial SSU rRNA
Rfam family: Bacterial small subunit ribosomal RNA
Source: RNAcentral